Manihot esculenta (cassava) is the source of this 107-nucleotide small nucleolar RNA. RefSeq annotates it as small nucleolar RNA Z279/snoR105/snoR108. Lineage: Eukaryota; Viridiplantae; Streptophyta; Magnoliopsida; Malpighiales; Euphorbiaceae. The transcript has a single exon. The record is from RefSeq and is a predicted model, not a curated record.
GGGAUGUGAUGAGUGGUCAUUUUUCGCGAUUAGCUUUGCGAGAUGGGUGUCCGCCCCAAUGCCAGUUACGACAAUACGGGCACUCCCAUUAAUACCAAUCUGAUCCC